RNAcentral lists this ribosomal RNA (497 nucleotides) under uncultured bacterium. RNAcentral describes it as "partial 16S ribosomal RNA". It matches the Rfam family "Bacterial small subunit ribosomal RNA", at positions 28 to 507 of the family's 1533-position model. The record is from RNAcentral.
GAUGAACGCUGGCGGCGUGCCUAAUACAUGCCAGUCGAGCGAACGGACGAGAAGCUUGCUUCUCUGAUGUUAGCGGCGGACGGGUGAGUAACACGUGGAUAACCUACCUAUAAGAAUGGGAUAACUUCGGGAAACCGGAGCUAAUACCGGAUAAUAUUUUGAACCGCAUGGUUCAAAAGUGAAAGACGGUCUUGCUGUCACUUAUAGAUGGAUCCUCGCUGCAUUAGCUAUUUGGUAGGGUAACGGCUUACCAAGGCAACGAUGCGUAGCGGACCUGAGAGGAUGAUCAGCAACACUGGAACUGAGACACGGUCCAGACUCCUAGGGGAGGCAGCAGUGGGGAAUAUUGGACAAUGGGCGAAAGCCUGAGGCAGCAAUGCCGCGUGUGUGAAGAAGGUCUUCGGAUUGUAAAGCUCUUUAAGUGGGGAGGAAGAGAAGUAAAUUAAUAAUUUGCUGUUUUGACGUUACCGAAAGAAAAAGCACCGGCUAACUACGUG